UGGGGAAUUUUGGACAAUGGGCGCAAGCCUGAUCCAGCAAUGCCGCGUGCAGGAUGAAGGCCUUCGGGUUGUAAACUGCUUUUGUACGGAGCGAAAAGGCUUCCACUAAUACUGGGGGCUCAUGACGGUACCGUAAGAAUAAGCACCGGCUAACUACGUGCCAGCAGCCGCGGUAAUACGUAGGGUGCAAGCGUUAAUCGGAAUUACUGGGCGUAAAGCGUGCGCAGGCGGUCUUGUAAGACAGGUGUGAAAUCCCCGGGCUUAACCUGGGAACUGCACUUGUGACUGCAAGGCUGGAGUACGGCAGAGGGGGAUGGAAUUCCGCGUGUAGCAGUGAAAUGCGUAGAUAUGCGGAGGAACACCGAUGGCGAAGGCAAUCCCCUGGGCCUGUACUGACGCUCAUGCACGAAAGCGUGGGGAGCAAACAGGAUUAGAUACCCCCGUAGUCC
This 449-nucleotide ribosomal RNA is filed under the name uncultured prokaryote. Its description in RNAcentral is "bacterial SSU rRNA". It matches the Rfam family "Bacterial small subunit ribosomal RNA", at positions 355 to 796 of the family's 1533-position model. The record is from RNAcentral.